GUGAACGCUGGCGGUAGGCCUAGCACAUGUAAGUCGAACGGCAGCACAGUAAGAGCUUGCUCUUACGGGUGGCGAGUGGCGGACGGGUGAGGAAUACAUCGGAAUCUACUUUUUCGUGGGGGAUAACGUAGGGAAACUUACGCUAAUACCGCAUACGACCUACGGGUGAAAGCAGGGGAUCUUCGGACCUUGCGCGAUUGAAUGAGCCGAUGUCGGAUUAGCUAGUUGGCGGGGUAAAGGCCCACCAAGGCGACGAUCCGUAGCUGGUCUGAGAGGAUGAACAGCCACACUGGAACUGAGACACAGUCCAGACUCCUACGGGAGGCAGCAGUGGGGAAUAUUGGACAAUGGGCGCAAGCCUGAUCCAGCCAUACCGCGUGGGUGAAGAAGGCCUUCGGGUUGUAAAGCCCUUUUGUUGGGAAAGAAAAGCAGCAGGUUAAUACCCCGCUGUUCUGACGGUACCCAAAGAAUAAGCACCGGCUAACUUCGUG
Molecule: ribosomal RNA, 491 nt
Filed under: uncultured bacterium
Lineage: Bacteria
Description: partial 16S ribosomal RNA
Rfam family: Bacterial small subunit ribosomal RNA
Source: RNAcentral